This 2268-nucleotide ribosomal RNA is filed under the name Campylobacter coli. Its description in RNAcentral is "partial 23S ribosomal RNA". It matches the Rfam family "Bacterial large subunit ribosomal RNA", at positions 819 to 2925 of the family's 2925-position model. The record is from RNAcentral. Lineage: Bacteria; Pseudomonadati; Campylobacterota; Epsilonproteobacteria; Campylobacterales; Campylobacteraceae.
GGGUGAAAGGCCAAUCAAACUUCGUGAUAGCUGGUUCUCUCCGAAAUAUAUUUAGGUAUAGCGUUGUGUCGUAAUAUAAGGGGGUAGAGCACUGAAUGGGCUAGGGCAUACACCAAUGUACCAAACCCUAUCAAACUCCGAAUACCUUAUAUGUAAUCACAGCAGUCAGGCGGCGAGUGAUAAAAUCCGUCGUCAAGAGGGAAACAACCCAGACUACCAGCUAAGGUCCCUAAAUCUUACUUAAGUGGAAAACGAUGUGAAGUUACUUAAACAACCAGGAGGUUGGCUUAGAAGCAGCCAUCCUUUAAAGAAAGCGUAAUAGCUCACUGGUCUAGUGAUUUUGCGCGGAAAAUAUAACGGGGCUAAAGUAAGUACCGAAGCUGUAGACUUGCGCACAACUUAGAUUAUUUAAGUUUAGAAUAUGAGAAACUAAGUUAUAUGUUUAGUUAUAUUUUUACUGAUUUUUAUAGAGUAAAGAUAGAAAUAAAACUUAGUAAAAUCAGUAAAAAUAUUCUUAGACUAAAGUUAAGUAGUUUAAGUUGUGUGCAAGUGGUAGGAGAGCGUUCUAUUUGCGUCGAAGGUAUACCGGUAAGGAGUGCUGGAGCGAAUAGAAGUGAGCAUGCAGGCAUGAGUAGCGAUAAUUAAUGUGAGAAUCAUUAACGCCGUAAACCCAAGGUUUCCUACGCGAUGCUCGUCAUCGUAGGGUUAGUCGGGUCCUAAGUCGAGUCCGAAAGGGGUAGACGAUGGCAAAUUGGUUAAUAUUCCAAUACCAACAUUAGUGUGCGAUGGAAGGACGCUUAGGGCUAAGGGGGCUAGCGGAUGGAAGUGCUAGUCUAAGGUCGUAGGAGGUUAUACAGGCAAAUCCGUAUAACAAUACUCCGAGAACUGAAAGGCUUUUUGAAGUCUUCGGAUGGAUAGAAGAACCCCUGAUGCCGUCGAGCCAAGAAAAGUUUCUAAGUUUAGCUAAUGUUGCCCGUACCGUAAACCGACACAGGUGGGUGGGAUGAGUAUUCUAAGGCGCGUGGAAGAACUCUCUUUAAGGAACUCUGCAAAAUAGCACCGUAUCUUCGGUAUAAGGUGUGGUUCGCUUCGUAUUAGGAUUUACUCCGAAAGCGAAGAAACUUACAACAAAGAGUCCCUCCCGACUGUUUACCAAAAACACAGCACUCUGCUAACUCGUAAGAGGAUGUAUAGGGUGUGACGCCUGCCCGGUGCUCGAAGGUUAAUUGAUGGGGUUAGCAUUAGCGAAGCUCUUGAUCGAAGCCCGAGUAAACGGCGGCCGUAACUAUAACGGUCCUAAGGUAGCGAAAUUCCUUGUCGGUUAAAUACCGACCUGCAUGAAUGGCGUAACGAGAUGGGAGCUGUCUCAAAGAGGGAUCCAGUGAAAUUGUAGUGGAGGUGAAAAUUCCUCCUACCCGCGGCAAGACGGAAAGACCCCGUGGACCUUUACUACAGCUUGACACUGCUAUUUGGAUAAGAAUGUGCAGGAUAGGUGGGAGGCUUUGAGUAUAUGACGCCAGUUGUAUAUGAGCCAUUGUUGAGAUACCACUCUUUCUUAUUUGGGUAGCUAACCAGCUUGAGUUAUCCUCAAGUGGGACAAUGUCUGGUGGGUAGUUUGACUGGGGCGGUCGCCUCCCAAAUAAUAACGGAGGCUUACAAAGGUUGGCUCAGAACGGUUGGAAAUCGUUCGUAGAGUAUAAAGGUAUAAGCCAGCUUAACUGCAAGACAUACAAGUCAAGCAGAGACGAAAGUCGGUCUUAGUGAUCCGGUGGUUCUGCGUGGAAGGGCCAUCGCUCAAAGGAUAAAAGGUACCCCGGGGAUAACAGGCUGAUCUCCCCCAAGAGCUCACAUCGACGGGGAGGUUUGGCACCUCGAUGUCGGCUCAUCGCAUCCUGGGGCUGGAGCAGGUCCCAAGGGUAUGGCUGUUCGCCAUUUAAAGCGGUACGCGAGCUGGGUUCAGAACGUCGUGAGACAGUUCGGUCCCUAUCUGCCGUGGGCGUAAGAAGAUUGAAGAGAUUUGACCCUAGUACGAGAGGACCGGGUUGAACAAACCACUGGUGUAGCUGUUGUUCUGCCAAGAGCAUCGCAGCGUAGCUAAGUUUGGAAAGGAUAAACGCUGAAAGCAUCUAAGCGUGAAGCCAACUCUAAGAUGAAUCUUCUCUAAGCUCUCUAGAAGACUACUAGUUUGAUAGGCUGGGUGUGUAAUGGAUGAAAGUCCUUUAGCUGACCAGUACUAAUAGAGCGUUUGGCUUAUCUUUAAUAAAGCAU